GACGAACGCUGGCGGCGUGCUUAACACAUGCAAGUCGAACGGAAAGGCCCUGCUUUUGUGGGGUGCUCGAGUGGCGAACGGGUGAGUAACACGUGAGUAACCUGCCCUUGACUUUGGGAUAACUUCAGGAAACUGGGGCUAAUACCGGAUAGGAGCUCCUGCUGCAUGGUGGGGGUUGGAAAGUUUCGGCGGUUGGGGAUGGACUCGCGGCUUAUCAGCUUGUUGGUGGGGUAGUGGCUUACCAAGGCUUUGACGGGUAGCCGGCCUGAGAGGGUGACCGGCCACAUUGGGACUGAGAUACGGCCCAGACUCCUACGGGAGGCAGCAGUGGGGAAUAUUGCACAAUGGGCGGAAGUCUGAUGCAGCAACGCCGCGUGCGGGAUGACGGCCUUCGGGUUGUAAACCGCUUUCGCCUGUGGCGAAGCGUGAGUGACGGUAAUGGGUAAAGAAGAACCGGCUAACUACGUG
This 468-nucleotide ribosomal RNA is filed under the name uncultured bacterium. RNAcentral describes it as "partial 16S ribosomal RNA". It matches the Rfam family "Bacterial small subunit ribosomal RNA", at positions 28 to 507 of the family's 1533-position model. The record is from RNAcentral.